Molecule: transfer RNA, 62 nt
Filed under: Stenus clavicornis
Lineage: Eukaryota; Metazoa; Arthropoda; Insecta; Coleoptera; Staphylinidae
Description: tRNA-Thr
Source: RNAcentral
GUUUUUAUAAUUUAUAUAAAAUAUUGAUCUUGUAAAUCAAAAAAAAAUUAUUUUUAAAAACU